UAUAGAGAGAUUACAUGUACUAAAGAGUGGUUGUUUUGGUUUUGCGGAGUUGCAGGGGUUAUUCUAGUAUUCACUUCGCAAGAUUUGAAGCAAAAUCCAUUUGUGUGUGAUGGCUACUCUGGUAUAUAGAAACAGAAACCUUGUUGAAGCAAGAUCUCUUCUCCACGUCGCCGUCUCCUCCUCCCACCCCGAGGUGGUCAAACUACUCUCUGCCGCCGCUGAUGAAUCAGUGGUGAAUGGUAUCGAUGAAGAAGGUUGGGCUCCCAUUCACUCAGCCGCCAGCAUUGGUAAUUUGGAAAUUAUGGAAAUCCUGUUGAGUAAAGGAGCAAAUGUGAACUCUUGAUUGAGGAAGGGGCAGAAGUUGAUGCUACCGAUAGAGCUAGACAAACUCCUCUGAUGAGCAGAUGUAUGAAAUGGCUUUGGGGUACACUGCUUGUACAUAUGCUGCUGACAACUUGAUUUUCACGCUUGAAGUUGUUAGGGCUAUUGCAAAUAAACAUGGCCUGUUGGCAACGUUUGUCCCCAAGCGAAGACAUGGAGAUCCGGAGGCUUGGCUGCGGUGCAAACAUGGAAGGAUUUUUAGGGUUUCCUCUCUACUGGAAACGUUGGGCCUCUAUCUUGUUUGGGCCAUAUAGGCCUACUGGGCCCUUUUUUAUUAUUUGGUUAGACCCGGCCAAAAUCGGGUAUUACACUAAUGAUAACUUCCUAAGAAAUCAAUUGGGAAUCUUCAAUCUGAACAAAAAUUUGCUUCAAAGUUGGAUUCAA
Gossypium raimondii (Peruvian cotton) is the source of this 765-nucleotide RNA transcript. RefSeq lists it as uncharacterized. The record is from RefSeq and is a predicted model, not a curated record. The transcript has 5 exons. NCBI's taxonomy places the organism in Eukaryota, Viridiplantae, Streptophyta, Magnoliopsida, Malvales, Malvaceae.